This 71-nucleotide small RNA is filed under the name Mytilus galloprovincialis (Mediterranean mussel). The record is from RNAcentral. Lineage: Eukaryota; Metazoa; Mollusca; Bivalvia; Mytilida; Mytilidae.
AAUAUCUUUAUUGUGUGACAUUGGUAGUUAAACAUAUUUUAACUACCAAUGUCACACAAUAAAGAUAUUCU